This 164-nucleotide ribosomal RNA is filed under the name Ipomoea triloba (trilobed morning glory). Its description in RNAcentral is "5.8S ribosomal RNA". It matches the Rfam family "5.8S ribosomal RNA". Rfam says of the family: 5.8S ribosomal RNA (5.8S rRNA) is a component of the large subunit of the eukaryotic ribosome. It is transcribed by RNA polymerase I as part of the 45S precursor that also contains 18S and 28S rRNA. Functionally, it is thought that 5.8S rRNA may be involved in ribosome translocation. The record is from RNAcentral. Lineage: Eukaryota; Viridiplantae; Streptophyta; Magnoliopsida; Solanales; Convolvulaceae.
MAAUACGACUCUCGGCAACGGAUAUCUCGGCUCUCGCAUCGAUGAAGAACGUAGCGAAAUGCGAUACUUGGUGUGAAUUGCAGAAUCCCGUGAACCAUCGAGUCUUUGAACGCAAGUUGCGCCCGAAGCCGUCAGGCCGAGGGCACGUCUGCCUGGGCGUCACG